AUUUAUUUAUCAAUAGUGCUACGUACAACAAUUGUGCGUAACCAUUGCGCACCCAACGCUGAGGUGGCGUUGUCAGACGGUUUGUAUUAAAAAAAAAAAAAAAAAAAAAAUUGAGGGAAAUCGAAAUAGAAAGACAUACCCGUACCGUACUGCUUUUCUGCUUUUCACUUCUGGUUCCUUCUUCUGCAAGCCGAAUGCAUUUUGGAGGUUGUUUUGAAUUCUCGUUGACGCAGAACUGGUUGUUUCUGUGUUUUUUUUUUUUUUUUUUCCCUUCAUCUCCCCCAAAUCUCUUCCUCUACCUGUUGGCCGGUUUGCUCUACACCGACCAAGUCCUCUGCACACGACAUUAUCCUCUGCUUCAUACGGUCUCAGAUAAAGUCAUUAACAGAUAUAACCGGACGUUGGACCCGACUUCAUGAACGAAUGGUUCUGAGAUGGAGAAAGGGAAAGGGAAAGAGCAUGCAUCUCCUAUAACGCCUCUUGCCACUAAUCCAUCAAUUAAUCCAUCAACUCAGGUAUGAGGAGUUUCUCACCUCUUUCAGUUUUUUUACUCAUUAUAAUGACAUGGUUGUUGACAUCUUAGGUGAUACCGAGACCAUUUUUUACAUAUUUGUCAACACCU
Molecule: long non-coding RNA, 622 nt
Organism: Carya illinoinensis
Lineage: Eukaryota; Viridiplantae; Streptophyta; Magnoliopsida; Fagales; Juglandaceae
Exons: 3
Source: RefSeq, a predicted model, not a curated record